UACGAAGGGGGCUAGCGUUGCUCGGAAUCACUGGGCGUAAAGCGCACGUAGGCGGCUUCUUAAGUCAGGGGUGAAAUCCUGGAGCUCAACUCCAGAACUGCCCUUGAUACUGAGGAGCUCGAGUCCGGAAGAGGUGAGUGGAACUGCGAGUGUAGAGGUGAAAUUCGUAGAUAUUAGGAAGAACACCGGUGGCGAAGGCGGCUCUCUGGAACGGUACUGACGCUGAGACGCGAAAGCGUGGGGAGCGAACAGG
RNAcentral lists this ribosomal RNA (253 nucleotides) under uncultured bacterium. Its description in RNAcentral is "partial 16S ribosomal RNA". It matches the Rfam family "Bacterial small subunit ribosomal RNA", at positions 524 to 776 of the family's 1533-position model. The record is from RNAcentral.